ACCAGCGGAGGGAUCAUUACUGAGUUUACGCUCUAUAACCCUUUGUGAACAUACCUAUAACUGUUGCUUCGGCGGGUAGGGUCUCCGUGACCCUCCCGGCCUCCCGCCCCCGGGCGGGUCGGCGCCCGCCGGAGGAUAACCAAACUCUGAUUUAACGACGUUUCUUCUGAGUGGUACAAGCAAAUAAUCAAAACUUUUAACAACGGAUCUCUUGGUUCUGGCAUCGAUGAAGAACGCAGCGAAAUGCGAUAAGUAAUGUGAAUUGCAGAAUUCAGUGAAUCAUCGAAUCUUUGAACGCACAUUGCGCCCGCCAGCAUUCUGGCGGGCAUGCCUGUUCGAGCGUCAUUUCAACCCUCAAGCUCUGCUUGGUGUUGGGGCCCUACAGCUGAUGUAGGCCCUCAAAGGUAGUGGCGGACCCUCCCGGAGCCUCCUUUGCGUAGUAACUUUACGUCUCGCACUGGGAUCCGGAGGGACUCUUGCCGUAAAACCCCCCAAUUUUCCAAAGGUUGACCUCGGAUCAGGUA
This 524-nucleotide ribosomal RNA is filed under the name Colletotrichum gloeosporioides. Its description in RNAcentral is "eukaryotic LSU rRNA". The stretch from base 192 to 345 matches the Rfam family "5.8S ribosomal RNA". The record is from RNAcentral. Lineage: Eukaryota; Fungi; Ascomycota; Sordariomycetes; Glomerellales; Glomerellaceae.